AACGAACGCUGGCGGCAUGCCUAACACAUGCAAGUCGAAUGAGACCUUCGGGUCUAGUGGCGCACGGGCGCGUAACGCGUGGGAACCUGCCCUUAGGUUCGGAAUAACUCAGAGAAAUUUGAGCUAAUACCGGAUAAUGUCUUCGGACCAAAGAUUUAUCGCCUUUGGAUGGGCCCGCGUAGGAUUAGCUUGUUGGUGGGGUAAUGGCCUACCAAGGCGACGAUCCUUAGCUGGUCUGAGAGGAUGAUCAGCCACACUGGGACUGAGACACGGCCCAGACUCCUACGGGAGGCAGCAGUGGGGAAUAUUGGACAAUGGGCGAAAGCCUGAUCCAGCAAUGCCGCGUGAGUGAUGAAGGCCUUAGGGUUGUAAAGCUCUUUUACCAGGGAUGAUAAUGACAGUACCUGGAGAAUAAGCUCCGGCUAACUCCGUG
Molecule: ribosomal RNA, 433 nt
Filed under: uncultured bacterium
Lineage: Bacteria
Description: partial 16S ribosomal RNA
Rfam family: Bacterial small subunit ribosomal RNA
Source: RNAcentral